RNAcentral lists this long non-coding RNA (713 nucleotides) under Fukomys damarensis (Damara mole-rat). Its description in RNAcentral is "lncRNA (ENSFDAG00000024592.1)". Lineage: Eukaryota; Metazoa; Chordata; Mammalia; Rodentia; Bathyergidae. The record is from RNAcentral.
CUCAAAGUUCUGCUGGAUGAAUGACGAGCUGAGGUCGUUCUCACUAUGUGACUAACAGCUGUCUCCUCAGAGCUCUAUCAUCACAAGCUUCAGGACAUUCUGCUGCAUGAAAGGAUGGGGGAGCAGCAAAGGGUGGUGCAGGCCCCUGGACACUACUUUGAGCUCUCCUCCAACUGCCUCAUCUUCCCCUGGACCUGGACAUGAAGUCUCUGAGCCAAUGCUGCUCAGAUAAUCUUUGAAAAUGUCGAAGAUGAGAUAUGUGUCUCUCCCAGCAGCAAAUGUGGAGCAGGAUGACAUGGGACGCAUCGCCUGUUCACACAGCCGCUCUCAAAGCCGUACAUCUCCUCAUCCCACAAGCUGCUUCAGCAAGCAUUGCUUUCUGAAAUUCUAGCUAACCGGGGAGCUUCUGUUCAAAUGACACUUGACGUGAAAUCUGAGACGGAAAGACCAAUCUAAGAACUGCUGUUGUGGAUAGGGAAAGGGUCCCACGGCCCUUCCUAUGGGCAUCUCAGCUUAUAAAAGUCUCUGCGUGGCUUCAUGGAGCAGGACUGAAAGCCCCAAGGAGAAGCUGGCUUCCGUGGCUGCACGCCAGCGGAGCUUCUUCGUCAUGUGACAGGAUAGCACUUUUACAAGCAACAAGCGACAUGUGAAACUUCACAAGUAGUGAAGCAAUGAGCUGGUGAGUAAGGGAAAUAAGAAUGUCAGUGUGGAGA